RNAcentral lists this ribosomal RNA (650 nucleotides) under uncultured Actinomycetes bacterium. RNAcentral describes it as "bacterial SSU rRNA". It matches the Rfam family "Bacterial small subunit ribosomal RNA", at positions 731 to 1379 of the family's 1533-position model. Lineage: Bacteria; Bacillati; Actinomycetota; Actinomycetes. The record is from RNAcentral.
GGGCCGUAACUGACGCUGAGGAGCGAAAGCGUGGGGAGCGAACAGGAUUAGAUACCCUGGUAGUCCACGCCGUAAACGUUGGGCGCUAGAUGUGGGGACCAUUCCACGGUUUCCGUGUCGCAGCUAACGCAUUAAGCGCCCCGCCUGGGGAGUACGGCCGCAAGGCUAAAACUCAAAGGAAUUGACGGGGGCCCGCACAAGCGGCGGAGCAUGCGGAUUAAUUCGAUGCAACGCGAAGAACCUUACCAAGGCUUGACAUAUACGAGAACGCUCUAGAAAUGGAGAACCCUUUGGACACUCGUAUACAGGUGGUGCAUGGUUGUCGUCAGCUCGUGUCGUGAGAUGUUGGGUUAAGUCCCGCAACGAGCGCAACCCUCGUUCUAUGUUGCCAGCGGUUCGGCCGGGAACUCAUAGGAGACUGCCGGGGUCAACUCGGAGGAAGGUGGGGAUGACGUCAAGUCAUCAUGCCCCUUAUGCCCAGGGCUGCACGCAUGCUACAAUGGCCGGUACAAAGGGCUGCAAAACCGCGAGGUGGAGCGAAUCCCAAAAAGCCGGUCUCAGUUCGGAUUGGGGUCUGCAACUCGACCCCAUGAAGUCGGAGUCGCUAGUAAUCGCAGAUCAGCAACGCUGUGGUGAAUACGUUCCCGGGU